ACGUAGGCAGCGAGCGUUGUUCGGAGUUACUGGGCGUAAAGGGUGUGUAGGCGGUUCUCUAAGUUUGGUGUGAAAUCUCCCGGCUUAACCGGGAGGGUGCGCCGAAAACUGGAGGGCUAGAGUGCGGGAUGGGAGAGUAGAAUUCCUGGUGUAGCGGUGAAAUGCGUAGAUAUCCGGAGGAACACCGGUGGCGAGGGCGGCUUCCUGGACCGACACUGACGCUGAGGCGCGAAAGCUAGGGGAGCAAACGGGA
This 253-nucleotide ribosomal RNA is filed under the name uncultured prokaryote. Its description in RNAcentral is "partial 16S ribosomal RNA". It matches the Rfam family "Bacterial small subunit ribosomal RNA", at positions 525 to 777 of the family's 1533-position model. The record is from RNAcentral.